This 218-nucleotide long non-coding RNA is filed under the name Mytilus galloprovincialis (Mediterranean mussel). The record is from RNAcentral. Lineage: Eukaryota; Metazoa; Mollusca; Bivalvia; Mytilida; Mytilidae.
UGGUCUUAAGACACGUCCUCAUCCUAAGAGUGCUUCGAUAAACAGGCCCAUUUUUGUUCAUCUGCUUAUAGUAUCAUAGCCUUGCAGGUAAGCUAAACAUGUAUUAAGCCAUAUCGAUGGAGUACAACUUCUGUUCAGUAUUUUUAAAUGAAAGGAAACAAUAAGCUUUUCAUGUUUGUUAAAGAGUAAGAUUUUUUUGGGUUAAUAUUGUAUUUCCG